RNAcentral lists this ribosomal RNA (275 nucleotides) under Clostridiales bacterium. RNAcentral describes it as "partial 23S ribosomal RNA". It matches the Rfam family "Bacterial large subunit ribosomal RNA", at positions 179 to 467 of the family's 2925-position model. Lineage: Bacteria; Bacillati; Bacillota; Clostridia; Eubacteriales. The record is from RNAcentral.
GGGAACCCGGGGAACUGAAACAUCUUAGUACCCGGAGGAAAAGAAAGUAAAAACGAUUCCGUGAGUAGUGGCGAGCGAAAGCGGAGUAGCCCGAAAGAGGGGAAGUAAUUCCCCUCCGGUAUCAGAAUACAAAGAAACGUUAGCCGAAGAUAUCUGGAAAGGUAUCCCGAAGAGAGUGACAGGCUCGUAGGCGAAAACGUUUUGAGUAGGAUACAACGAGUACGUCGGAACACGAGGAAUUCUGACGGAAUAUGUGGGGACCAUCCCAUAAGGCU